GGGUAAGCUGGUGCAGGGAGCGGGGGUAAGAGGGCUGGGGAAAGCGUGGUUCUGAAGUCAGGGGCGAAAAGGGCGCGAGGUGGGGAUCAUAAGUAGGGCGGGGAUGCCCCGGGGUCAACCCGGGUACUGCAUCCGAGGCUGGGAGGCGAGAGUGCUGGAGAGGUUGGUGGAAUUCGUCGUGUAGCGGUGAAAUGCGUAGAGAGGAGGAGGAACACCAGUGGCGAAGGCGGCCAACUGGACAGUAACUGACGCUGAGGCCCGAAAGCGUGGGUAGCAAACAGGAUUAGAUACCCCGGUAGU
Molecule: ribosomal RNA, 300 nt
Filed under: uncultured Caldivirga sp.
Lineage: Archaea; Thermoproteati; Thermoproteota; Thermoprotei; Thermoproteales; Thermoproteaceae
Description: partial 16S ribosomal RNA
Rfam family: Bacterial small subunit ribosomal RNA (bases 62-300)
Source: RNAcentral